This is a long non-coding RNA of Oncorhynchus tshawytscha (Chinook salmon), 674 nucleotides long. Lineage: Eukaryota; Metazoa; Chordata; Actinopteri; Salmoniformes; Salmonidae. The record is from Ensembl.
CUUCAUUUUUUUUUUAUAUAUAUAUUUAUAUAUAUAAGGGGUUGACAUAAUGACAACACAGGAAACACGAAACUUGGGGUAUAAAGGAAUCUGUAAAAACAUCUUCACAUUUAGUUUUUUUUUACCAUGUUGAGAGGGCUGAAGACAGAGUUCUAUGAGUCUGUUUUACUUAUUCGAUAUAUUUCACCUUUAUUUAACCAGGUAGGCUAGUUGAGAACACCUUUAUUUAACCAGGUAGGCUAGUUGAGAACAAGUUCUCAUUUACAACUGCGACCUGGCCAAGAUAAAGAGGGCUGAAGACAGAGUUCUGUGAGUCUGUACGGUGUAACUGUCGGUACAAGUCCAGCCACCACGGGUAGUGUCUGUGGUUCUGUGUCAGUGGAUCCGUUGGUCACAGGUUCAGGGAUGUAUGUAGUAAAAACAAGUCAACUUUGUACGUGCAUUUUUAUCUGUAUAGUUGUGUCACAGGUCUGUGAUGCUGGUCUGUGGUUCAGUGUGUUUGUAAUUACAGGUCUGUGAUGCUGGUCUGUGGUUCUGUGUGUUUGUAAUUACAGGUCUGUGAUGCUGGUCUGUGGUUCUGUGUGUUUGUAAUUACAGGUCUGUGAUGCUGGUCUGUGGUUCUGUGUGUUUGUAAUUACAGGUCUGUGAUGCUGGUCUGUGGUUAUGUGUGUUUG